This 225-nucleotide long non-coding RNA is filed under the name Pan troglodytes (chimpanzee). RNAcentral describes it as "long non-coding RNA NONPTRT016563". The record is from RNAcentral. Lineage: Eukaryota; Metazoa; Chordata; Mammalia; Primates; Hominidae.
CAGGACGCUGGGAUCGGCGGCGCUAUGAGUUCUUUCGAGGGGCAGAUGGCCGAGUAUCCAACUAUCUCCAUAGACCGCUUCGACAGGGAGAACCUGAGGGCCCGCCCCUACUUCCUGUCCCACUGCCACAAAGGUCACAUGAAAGGAUUAAGAGCCCCUACCUUGAAAAGAAGGUUGGAGUGCAGAUGAGGAAACUGAGGAACCAGAGAGGUUAAAUCAGUUGCC